Molecule: ribosomal RNA, 400 nt
Filed under: uncultured bacterium
Lineage: Bacteria
Description: bacterial SSU rRNA
Rfam family: Bacterial small subunit ribosomal RNA
Source: RNAcentral
UCGAGAAUUUUUGACAAUGGGGGAAACCCUGAUCGAGCGACGCCGCGUGGAGGAUGAAGGUCUUCGGAUUGUAAACUCCUGUCAUUGGGGAACAAUGCAUAAAUAUUAACUGUAUUUGUGUUGAUAGUACCCGAAGAGGAAGAGACGGCUAACUCUGUGCCAGCAGCCGCGGUAAUACAGAGGUCUCAAGCGUUGUUCGGAUUCAUUGGGCGUAAAGGGUGCGUAGGCGGCGCGGUAAGUCGGGUGUGAAAUCUCGGAGCUUAACUCCGAAACUGCAUUCGAUACUGCCGUGCUUGAGGACUGGAGAGGAGACUGGAAUUUACGGUGUAGCGGUGAAAUGCGUAGAUAUCGUAAGGAAGACCAGUGGCGAAGGCGGGUCUCUGGACAGUUCCUGACGCUG